UUAACUGAAAAACAACUUUUUAGUUACGUAAAAGAAGCACGACGUCUAAAAGGGUCGACCGGAUCUGUGUU
This 71-nucleotide transfer RNA is filed under the name Aureococcus anophagefferens. Lineage: Eukaryota; Pelagophyceae; Pelagomonadales; Pelagomonadaceae. The record is from RNAcentral.